UGCAGUCGUGCGAGAAAGUAUCUUCGGAUAUGAGUAGAGCGGCGGACGGGUGAGUAACGCGUAGGAAUCUACCUAGUAGAAGGGGAUAGCCCGGGGAAACCCGGAUUAAUACCGUAUACCUCCUUCGGGAGAAAGAAGGCCUCUCUUUGAAGCUUUCGCUACUAGAUGAGCCUGCGUAAGAUUAGCUUGUUGGUGAGGUAAAGGCUCACCAAGGCAACGAUCUUUAGCUGGUCUGAGAGGACGAUCAGCCACAUUGGGACUGAGACACGGCCCAGACUCCUACGGGAGGCAGCAGUGGGGAAUAUUGGACAAUGGGCGCAAGCCUGAUCCAGCCAUACCGCGUGUGUGAAGAAGGCCUUCGGGUUGUAAAGCACUUUAAGCAGGGAGAAAAAGUUAUAAGUUAAUACCUUAUAGCCUUGAUGUUACCUGCAGAAUAAGCACCGGCUAAUUCCGUGCCAGCAGCCGCGGUAAUACGGAAGGUGCAAGCGUUAAUCGGAAUUACUGGGCGUAAAGCGCGCGUAGGUGGUUUGUUAAGUUGGAUGUGAAAGCCCUGGGCUCAACCUAGGAACUGCAUCCAAAACUAACUCACUAGAGUACGAUAGAGGGAGGUAGAAUUCAUAGUGUAGCGGUGGAAUGCGUAGAUAUUAUGAAGAAUACCAGUGGCGAAGGCGGCCUCCUGGAUCUGUACUGACCCUGAGGUGCGAAAGCGUGGGUAGCGAACAGGAUUAGAUACC
This 734-nucleotide ribosomal RNA is filed under the name uncultured marine bacterium. RNAcentral's name for it is "bacterial SSU rRNA". It matches the Rfam family "Bacterial small subunit ribosomal RNA", at positions 56 to 786 of the family's 1533-position model. The record is from RNAcentral.